RNAcentral lists this ribosomal RNA (465 nucleotides) under uncultured bacterium. RNAcentral's name for it is "partial 16S ribosomal RNA". It matches the Rfam family "Bacterial small subunit ribosomal RNA", at positions 339 to 795 of the family's 1533-position model. The record is from RNAcentral.
CUACGGGCGGCAGCAGUCUAGAAAUUUGCACAAUCGACGAAAGUUGGAUGCAGUGACGCCACGUGGAGGAUGAAGCCCUUAGGGGUGUAAACUCCUGUCAGGAGGGAAGAAGGUGCGGCCGUUAAUACCGGUCGUUGCUUGACGGUACCUCCAGAGGAAGCUCCGGCUAACUACGUGCCAGCAGCCGCGGUAAUACGUAGGGAGCGAGCGUUGUUCGGAUUUACUGGGCGUAAAGGGCAGGUAGGCGGGUAUUCAAGUCGGUUGUGAAAUCCUCUGGCUCAACCAGAGAAUUGCAAUCGAAACUGUAUACCUUGAGUUCAGCAGAGGGAAUCGGAAUCCUAGGUGUAGCGGUGAAAUGCGUAGAUAUCUAGGAGAACACCAGUGGCGAAGGCGGAUUCCUGGGCUGACACUGACGCUGAGCUGCGAAAGCUGGGGGAGCGAACAGGAUUAGAUACCCCGGUAGUC